RNAcentral lists this non-coding RNA (762 nucleotides) under Creontiades dilutus (green mirid). The record is from RNAcentral. Lineage: Eukaryota; Metazoa; Arthropoda; Insecta; Hemiptera; Miridae.
UGAAUAUUUUAUUCAUGUAUUUUGAUUUAAUUUUAUUAAAAUAUAUAUAUAAGUUAUUUCUUGAUGUUUUAUUUUUAAAUAAAUAAUAAUAUUAUUUUUAGUUUAUAGUUUUGGUUUGAUUUACAAAAGUAAUAUUCAUUUAUAAUAAUAAUUUUAUAACAAAAAUUGUGCCAGCAGUUGCGGUUAUACAAUUAUAAAUAUUAAAUUUUAUUGGUUUAUAUUAAAUAUAUUUAUAUUGAAUAAAUAUAUAUAUUGUUUAGUGAAAUAUUAAUAUAUUAUUUUUUUAUAUAUAUUAUAAUAUAUGAAAGUUAAUUAUUAAACUAGGAUUAGAUACCCUAUUAUUUUAAUUGUAAAUUUAUAACCUAAUUAUUAAUAGUUAAGAUCUUAAAAUUUAAAGGAUUUGGCGGUAAUUUAGCUUUUCAGAGGAACCUGUCCUAUAAUUGAUAAUCCACAAUAAAUUUUACUUUUAUUAUGCUUAUAUACCUCUAUCAUUGAAUAUCUUAAUAAGGUUAUUUUCUAUAUGGUUUUUAAUCAAAAUGUUAGGUCAAGGUUUAGUAAUAUAAAAGUAGAGAUGGGUUACAUUAUUUAUAUAUAAAAAGGAUAAUAUUAUGGAAAUAUAUUUGAAUUUGGAUUUGAUUGUAAAUUUUUGUUAAAAAAAAGAAUUGAUAUUGGCUCUAUAUUAUGUACAUAUCGCCCGUCGCUCCUACAUUGUAGGAUAAGUCGUAACAAAGUAGAUUUAUUGGAAAAUGAAUCUAGAAUGAC